AAGAAAGGGGAGUAAUUUCUGACAUAGAUGAAAUCCUAGGGUUUUGUAUGUAAUUCUCGCUAGAUAUAACCCGAUUUCUACUCGAACAGAAUCAGAAGCAGCCCAAAAUCGAUUCAAUCGAAGAGGUGCUGGGUGACACAACAGCGGAACUACUUACGACAAAAAUGCCUCUAUAUGAUUGCAUGCUUUUGCUAAAACCCCAUGUACAGAAGGAAGCUUUGUUGGAUUUAGUUGCUCGGGUUGGGAAACAUGUUUGUAGGAAAAAUGGUGUCAUCACUGAUAUGAAAGCAUUCGGACCUGUUCAACUGGGUUAUGGCAUUAAAAAACUUGAUGGAAGAUACUAUCAGGGCCAACUGAUGCAAAUGACAAUGAUGACGCCGCCUAAUUUCAAUGAUGAGCUGCAUUAUUUGAACAAGGAAGACCGGUUGCUGCGAUGGCUUUUGGUUAAGCACCGAGAUAUCAAGUAUGGGUUGGAAUUUCUGAGUGAAGAAGAUGGAAAAAGUGAGUUAAGCAGGUUUCGGAUCAACUUAUAUGAAGAAGAAGAUGACGAUGACGAUGAAGACGACGAUGACGAUGAAGACGUAGUCAAAAAAGGGGAAGAAAUUGAUGAGAACAACAACGACGAGUAUGAAGUCAAAGAAUGGGAGAGGAGCAAAAACUGAACGGGGACAAAUAUCACCAUUUUAGUUACAAGUUUAAGGAGAUGAAUACUCUUUGGGUGCCUGUGUAUGUUGUCAAUAACCCAGUGAAGACUAGUAGAAUGUCAAUUUAGCUUUUCUUGUAGGUAAAAGAAGAGAGAACUCAAGGAAAAUGUCAAUUGGAACUGUCAUCUGAAUGAUGAGGCUCGACUUUGUUGUACCUUUGAGGUUUGAGAUCCGAAAUAAUGACUUGCUUGCAGCAUUCAUAUUCUCAAGCUUGUUGCCUUUCCUGAAACUGUCCCAACUUAUAUUUUAUGUUUCUCUCUCGGUAGAUUUUCUACAUAUGGAUGAUAUCUGAUUCCCAAGAGUUCAAUAAUAUAUGUUGGAAUGAUCUUUCUUUUUGUUCA
Rhododendron vialii is the source of this 1045-nucleotide RNA transcript. RefSeq lists it as uncharacterized. The transcript has 5 exons. NCBI's taxonomy places the organism in Eukaryota, Viridiplantae, Streptophyta, Magnoliopsida, Ericales, Ericaceae. The record is from RefSeq and is a predicted model, not a curated record.